GUGGGUGGGCUCAUAGUCGGAUA
RNAcentral lists this microRNA (23 nucleotides) under Cordylochernes scorpioides. Lineage: Eukaryota; Metazoa; Arthropoda; Arachnida; Pseudoscorpiones; Chernetidae. The record is from RNAcentral.